GACGAACGCUGGCGGCGUGCUUAACACAUGCAAGUCGAACGGAAAGGCCCUGCUUGCAGGGUACUCGAGUGGCGAACGGGUGAGUAACACGUGGGUGAUCUGCCCUGCACUUCGGGAUAAGCCUGGGGAACGGGGUCUAAUACCGGAUAGGAGCCAUUUUUAGUGUGAUGGUUGGAAAGUUUUUUCGGUGUAGGAUGAGCUCGCGGCCUAUCAGCUUGUUGGUGGGGUAAUGGCCUACCAAGGCGGCGACGGGUAGCCGGCCUGAGAGGGUGGACGGCCACAUUGAGACUGAGAUACGGCCCAGACUCCUACGGGAGGCAGCAGUGGGGAAGAUUGCACAAUGGGCGCAAGCCUGAUGCAGAGACGCCGCGUGGGGGAUGACGGCCUUCGGGUUGUAAACUCCUUUCGCUAGGGACGAAGCUUUUUGUGACGGUACCUAGAUAAGAAGCACCGGCUAACUACGUG
Molecule: ribosomal RNA, 465 nt
Filed under: uncultured bacterium
Lineage: Bacteria
Description: partial 16S ribosomal RNA
Rfam family: Bacterial small subunit ribosomal RNA
Source: RNAcentral